Molecule: long non-coding RNA, 139 nt
Organism: Pantherophis guttatus
Lineage: Eukaryota; Metazoa; Chordata; Lepidosauria; Squamata; Colubridae
Source: RefSeq, a predicted model, not a curated record
AAAGCUUUGGAAAGGCAAAGAUUUCCUUGUAUUGUCCCAGUCCUUUUAGAGGAACUUGAAGAAACUGAUGAAGGACAAGCAUGAAUUCCAAAGGAACUGAAUUUCCUCUUUUGCUCAUUAAAAAGAAGUUGAAAUCCCA